This 231-nucleotide ribosomal RNA is filed under the name Staphylococcus aureus. RNAcentral's name for it is "partial 23S ribosomal RNA". It matches the Rfam family "Bacterial large subunit ribosomal RNA", at positions 1286 to 1515 of the family's 2925-position model. RNAcentral also lists the same sequence under 1 other name. The record is from RNAcentral. Lineage: Bacteria; Bacillati; Bacillota; Bacilli; Caryophanales; Staphylococcaceae.
AAGUGAGAAUGCCGGUGUGAGUAGCGAAAGACGGGUGAGAAUCCCGUCCACCGAUUGACUAAGGUUUCCAGAGGAAGGCUCGUCCGCUCUGGGUUAGUCGGGUCCUAAGCUGAGGCCGACAGGCGUAGGCGAUGGAUAACAGGUUGAUAUUCCUGUACCACCUAUAAUCGUUUUAAUCGAUGGGGGGACGCAGUAGGAUAGGCGAAGCGUGCGAUUGGAUUGCACGUCUAA